This is a non-coding RNA of Stegodyphus mimosarum, 73 nucleotides long. Lineage: Eukaryota; Metazoa; Arthropoda; Arachnida; Araneae; Eresidae. The record is from Rfam.
GCCUUCGUGGUGCAGUGGUCAGCACGCUCGACGCAUAUUCGACAGGUCCGUGGUUCGAGUCCGGGCGAGGGCA